GUGGCAAGAGGGGUAAAAGGGGGUAGAGGGGAUAAAAGCCAAGACUGAGUCAGUCAAGUGCAGUGCAAUGAAUAACUUGCCGCAGCAAAUUAGCCUCGUAAAUUAGCAGUGCGCACAAGAAUAGGCAACAAAUCAUUGGCAGAGAAAAAAAACUUUGUAAACAUAGGUAAAUGGAAAAACUUGGACAAAUUGGGAAAUUAAUUAUAAACUAUUUAAUGUAUACAUAAUGUACAUUCUGCUGAGAUUCUGGGGUGAGUUUGUUUGUAUAAUUUGAAUUCCUAAGCUUCUUACUAGUAUAUUUUCCCCCUGGUUAAUUUCGUGUCUGCCUCUUUGAAUUUAAAUUUUCCGCUCAUCAUAUUGCUAUUAAGCCGCUUUCCAUUCUCUUGGUAAUCUGGUGAAUAAAUCUGCCAGCAUUAUGCACUCAUCAUAAUGCGUCUGCUGGUCUUUAAUUUGUAUUCAUUGUUAUUAUAGUCCCCAAGUACACAGAAACUGAAUGAAUGAGCGAUGAAUGUUUAAUGAGGGCGAUGCGCAAAAAUCGCAUUGCAAUCGAGAAAUUCACGCAUAUGAUUUUCAUCUAAAUUAUGUGCAAAAAUAAAUAGAAUGACUUGAAAUUUUAAUCUACAUGUUUGGGUGGUGGCCCUACAUAAUAGAUGGCUGGUAAUUUAAGCAACUACUUAUUUUGUUGUAAUUGUAAUUGCCGGUCGAAUAAACCCAUUUGUGUGUAUCUUAAUCUCUGACUGCUGCGUGUAUCUGUAUCUCUGCAGGUGUAAAAUUUGAACAAAUAAAUCUGGGAACCAAACCGGUUUCAUCACCAUGAGGCAUCCUUUGAAAACAAUUGAGCAGUUUUGAGGAGAGCAGCUUUUUUUUUUCAGUUUUGCUGGCGGCGGCAAAUGCAACUCACGGAAAGCAUUCAAAAGCAAUUAAGCGCUUUCUUCACAGCCCAGAGAGCGCGACAGAGACGGCCUUAGAUGGUGGGAAAGAGAAGGGCGCACACAUGAGUUGAAAAUGUAAUAUCAUCAAUCAAAAAAAAAAAAAAAAAAAGAAGGAACACAAAAAUACAGAGACAGCAGAAAAAUUAAGCAGGGAGAGUGAGUGCCAAAGAAAAGCCAUGCCCAAGCUUAAAACUGGAAAUUCUCUUUUACACCGAAAGAGUUAAUGAUCUGGGAAAUAUGUCCGAUGAAAGCUGAUUUGGAAGAGAUGCAGCACGAAGCCAGCUCACGAAACGGCGGCAACAACAAAUUUAGCUUGAUUAUGCCAACCACCGACAACAACAACAAGAAGAAACAGCAAACAACCACAACGAAUUUUUUUUAUCAUCGCAUAUAUUGAAAAAUGCUUCAAACUAAAAGCCAAGCGCUGUAAUCAUAUUUAACUUUGCCUCGGUUAUGUGCCUCAUCUUCUGCAGCCGCAGCCUCAUCUCUCCUUCACCUGAUUUUGGUUGAUGCUGCUGCUGCUUCUGCUGCUGCUGCUGCUGCUGUUGCCAAACCUCAGAGGCAACCGCAACAGGUAAUUGAUGCCGCUUGCGCGUUGCAAGAACUUUAAUCAAUUUUUCAGAUAUUUUUCUUUCGUUUCGUUGCCUUUUUUCGAGUUGCUCGUCUACCUUUCUACGUGAUGAUGUUGUAUGUAUGCAUGUGUGUGUGUGUUGCAAGUGGCCAUAACAACCGAAAACGGCAACCGAAAUGGCCAACACAAACUGCCCCCCGUGGAAAGGGGUAAAAUGGAGGGGGGGGAGGGGAGGAGUGAGAGGCGGAAGCAAGGGGGGAAGAUCGCAGUGAACCCAAAUGACUGGGAAUUUGGCCAGGUAAGCCAGGUAGGUAAGUGCAGCCCAGAGCGGCCAGUGGCCAAGUGGCAAGUGGCUAUCACGGCAUGGCUAUAUAGCCGCCGAUACACACGUAUUUACAGUAUGUAUGUAUUGGUAUACAGCUCUGGGUGAAGGCAGCAACAAAUUUCAGCAAAUUACUAUGAGGUAACCAAAGAAGCAAGGUUUCCCAGAUCAGAUAUCCCAACACGAACGUAUAAAUCUUCUGAAGAAGGGUUCUAAGUACAGGUAAGACGUAAUAAGACUUUAAUACGUGGACUUAAAUGAAGCUUUGUUCUAGCAACAGUGUUUUUAGACAUAUUAUCUUGAAAUGAUAAGAUUAUAAGAGUUCAUAUAGUCAGCUAAGCCUAAUUUAAAUAGUGUUACCAUUUAAAUUUAAACUUUAAGUUCUUGGAAUUUGGAAAGCAUUACGAAUCUAUGAAUGCCAUAUCAUUUUCUACACGGCGCUUUUAUCGCUUUUCUAUGCCAAUAAAGUGUGUAUUGCAUAUGCAUUGGUUACUCUUUGAUUGCCACCGAAUGUCGACUAUACUAUAUACUAUAUAUCCGAUUUCAACGAUGGGUGGUGGGUGGGUUGGUGAUUGGCGGAAUUGUGAAGUACUUGGAGUACUCAUAUAGACCCAGCGACAAGUUGCAGUCAUUUACUUAACUUUCACAAUUUCGAUUUACACAUCUACAUGACUCCUCUUUAUUCUCCCCGCACAAUCAUAUAGAUAUAGGUAUAUAUAUAUAUAUGUAUGCAUAGAGAGAGAGGGAGCCUAUCCCCUUUGCCCUACGCCUCUGCGGUCGGCUGUCUACUCAAUCACAGCGUAAAGCACUUCUGAGUCAUAAAAACCAAGCCAGACUGCGAUUGUGCAGUUGGCAAUUUUAUGCAGCGCCACUUGGAGCACUCCGGAUCUCCGGAUUCGAGAUGCCAGCAGGGCAGGGUGGAGUGGUGCUGCAAAGUUAGGGGUUUCGGGGUUUACCAUGGAGUGAAGCGAUAAAAAUGACACAUGGAGCUCCACUCCAUUCUGUUCCAAAGGCAAAUGGCAAAUGGCAAAUAGCCGCGAGAGAAAGAGAGAGAUAGCCCUGUGGCAAGUGACACUUCGUGGGGGCAGAGACAUGGCCAAAAGGAGCCAAGCCGAUCGAGUUUGUCUCGCGAAGUAAGAGUUAUAUCCUUAAUUCACUGCGGACAUCACCUCCUCGAAUGACAAAGACUUCAAUUACUUUAUAUAGAAUAACAAGCAAAUCUUUCGUUUCUAUUCAUAUAAGUUAUUAGAAACUGCAAAAUAUAUGCGUUUUCAAGGUUUUCAAAUAUAUAUUUUAAACACCAGAAGUACUUUCCUUUUUAUUUAUUUUUUGUUUUUGAAGAAUGUCAAACAUGUUUUCGAAAGCAAUUACAACAUGCAAUUAAAAAUCGCCUGCGCUGAAACAAAAAACCGUUUCGUUUUGGCCUGCAGACAAUCGGGAUUGCAUAACCGGGAAACAUAUUUCUGGUCUCGUUUUGACUUAUUUUUUUAUAUGUAUACAUAUAUACGUACAUUUGUGUGUAUUUAUAUAUCUUUUGUUUUAUACAGUGUCCGAAAAACGAGAGCGACAAGUUGACACAAUCGUGGACAACUUUUUUCGUACACAAGCCAAUCAACUGUGGCACAGCAGAAAGCUCAAAAAAAGAGGAAAUAAUUAUGGAAAAACAAUUUUUAAUUUGCAAUUGCACUCGCAACAGCAGCAGCGCAGUAACAACCGAAAAACUUAACAAGCCAACCUUGGCGUUUAUGCCCUUUAAUGGGGAUUUUUAUACGUAUUUUUAUACCGCUUUUUGUGCGCCUCACCUUGAGAUAACUUUACGUGGAGUUGGAGUUGGAAUUGGAAUUGGAGUUGGAGUUGUAGUUGGAUGUGGAGGUGGAGCCAAUGGGCGAAACUCUGAGCUCACAAUGCAGCCCUUUGAUCGUGAACAGGCGCAACCUUGGAAUGAAAUCGGUGGGAUCUCUCUCUAUAAGUGCUGCAUUUUUCCCGGUGUAUCGAUGGUCGAAGAAGCAGCAGCUGCGCCGACGAUGGGCAACAUACGCAAAUGCAAGCAGCAGAAAUUUAUGAGCAGCCAUUCGCAGGCAUCGCCGAGGAUCCGCCAACAAAACUGCCACAAGUGGCCAAAAAGAUAGAAGCCAGGAGGGUAAGUAUAUAUAUAUAUAUGUAUAUGUACAUAUAUAGGUAUAUGCACGAGUGUAAGACCCCGGCCAAGUGCAAUGACAAAGGCAAAUAAAUUACAGCAUAAUUUGCAGGCAGCAGCAGCAGUCGACAAAGUAGCGAAGGAAGCGCUAGGAAAAAGGACCAAGCAGCAGGAGAAGCUUAACUACCAUAAAUUGGCCAACGACAAUAAAAAAAAAGCGGCGGAAAGAAGGAACUAGCAGAGAGAGAAAAAAACACUCAGACCUCAAUCAAUGGAGAAAUAAUUACAAGCGUUACUUUCUUCGGAGGGGAGUCUCUCCCCCGCUUUUCACCCUCCUGGCCACCUCCUUGACCCUUCUCUUUUUCCCCAAAAAACAUUAAUCAAUGGUAAUUGCAUACGCCCCGAAAAAGAAGGAAAACCCUGAAAAUUGGAAAGGUAUCAAAGGAAAGCUGCUAGAUAUUAUGGAUUUUCGAUUAUAUGUACAUCAGCUAGCGAGGAUAGUCGGUUUGUCUUUAAGAAUACACUUUUUUAAGAAUAGCAUUUUCCGAGUGCAUUGCGUUCUUCUUGCGCCGAUAAUUUGUUGAUUUCUUCAUCGAAAUUCGAGUAUCCUUUCACCAUCAGCAGUUACAAAUUGUGAUUCAUUUGGGAGAUUCGAGCCUCAGUUUUAUUCGGGUUUCAACUCCUUUGCUCUUGCAACAAUACAAACAGAUAUUAUAUUAUUUUUCUUCGCUUCUUUCUUCCUUGUAAUUGAGCUGGAAUGAUUGUUGGAACCGGGUUCGCGCUCUUGUCUCGGGGACUUUAUGUUGUUUUAUUCAUCUUCUUCUUUCCCAACUACCUCAAAAGUGUAAGGUGCGGGUGCUAAAUGUAAAGCUAUUUAUGUUUUGUGACGUUAAUUUUGCAAAAAAAAUCGUAAACAAGUAGAAAUGCAAGUGUAUUCGAUUUUGCAUUAUUACUAGGUUAAUGAGUAUAACUGAUGUCGCGCACUGUACUGAGUACACUCCCAAAAGUCAUCUUGUCGGCAAAAGUCUUUGGCUUGGAAAAAAGCAUUUUCAAGUGUUUUUUUCGCAUUUGCCGCUUGACUGAUGCUUUGUUGUUGUUGUUGUUGUAGAAAUUGUUGUUGAAAAUUUUGUUGUUGUAAUUUUAUUGUUGCUGCUUUUGGCUGUUGUCGAACAUGUUGCUGAUAUCGUUGUUUUUGUUUCGGCUUGUUUAGCUAUGUUUUCUCCACAUUUUUGUGUAUGUUUAUUUUUCUUUCGUGUAAUAUUACGUAUACGUAUAGUACAACUAUUGUUGUUUUUUAAUUGGCCCAUGCUUAUGUGGCUUUUCGUGUUAUUUUUGUAGUUUUUAUUGCCGUUUUUGUUGCUUUUUUGCUUUUUGUCCUGCUCAAAUUGCAGGCACAUUCGUCUGGCGAUUAUUAACUUGCAGAUUGCACAUUUUACAGUCAAUUUGGUGCGCAAAUCGAGUUUGUGUUUUUGCUCCCCUUUCGGUUUACCCCCUCCUCAUUCACCCCUUCAUUCAUUCACUUCAUUCUUCCAUUGCCAACUUCUUGCUCUGUUUCCCCCCAGUACUUUAUGUGCAAUUUCUUUCGUUACAUUAAAGUAGUGGAAUGAAAAUAUGUUUCGCCUCAGGAUAAACACUUCACUAGAUGCAUUCAUUUUUCAUAUACAUUUUGUAUGAAGAAACUAAAUCACUAAAUCAUUACAUUUGGCUAUAAUAUACCUAUUAGCGCGUAAGUAAGGCAUGUUUCGCACAAGCCAGGCUCCACUGUAAAGUCCAAAACACCCGCCGACACAAACAAGCCAACAAAUCUCCCAUAAUAAUAAUUGAUAAACACUCGACAGGUUCAUGAACCCCGCACAUGCACACGCACACAAAUACAAAUACAAAUACAACCGAAACCGAGCCAGCAAAAAAGUAAAUAAAAAAGUAAAAGAAGUAGCCAUUGGGGAGAUAGAGCAAGAAACUCCAUCGUUUAGUCAUUUUUGCUGAACAUCUUAUAAUUAUUUUUAGCUUCAGUUUUCUGCCUUCAUUUGUGAGUCACGUAGCGGGGGGAAUCCCCUCGCAUGUCACGGUGCCAAAUGGUUUUUUAAUUGUUUAUUAAAAAACACAAAAGAAAUGGCAUAGCCGAACGCCUUGACUAUUAGAUACCCUUACAAAUUUUAAGGGACAUACGCGAAAACACGGAAAAUUCGGAAAACGACUUUUGGCAAAGAAAUCGAUAUUAAAGAUGGGUUUUUGUCAUAGCUUCGCUGAAAAUGGUCGUAUAGAUGAAAUAAUAACUGUUUUGACGAGCUAAUUACCAGUGCUAUCGAUCCCUAUCACUUUUUAAAGAAUUUAGAAAAAUUAAUUUUUGGGUCAAUUUUCGCAUUUUUCAUAAGGGGUAACAUCAUCAAAAUUUGCAAAAAAUGGCCAAAAAAUAGAAUUUGCAUUUUU
This is a long non-coding RNA of Drosophila simulans, 6392 nucleotides long. RefSeq lists it as uncharacterized. The record is from RefSeq and is a predicted model, not a curated record. Lineage: Eukaryota; Metazoa; Arthropoda; Insecta; Diptera; Drosophilidae. The transcript has 4 exons.